UUGCACGCUGGCGGCAGGCCUCACACAUGCAAGUCGAGCGGAUGAAGGGAGCUUGCUCCUGGAUUCAGCGGCGGACGGGUGAGUAAUGCCUAGGAAUCUGCCUGGUAGUGGGGGAUAACGUCCGGAAACGGGCGCUAAUACCGCAUACGUCCUGAGGGAGAAAGUGGGGGAUCUUCGGACCUCACGCUAUCAGAUGAGCCUAGGUCGGAUUAGCUAGUUGGUGGGGUAAAGGCCUACCAAGGCGACGAUCCGUAACUGGUCUGAGAGGAUGAUCAGUCACACUGGAACUAAGACACGGUCCAGACUCCUACGGGAGGCAGCAGUGGGGAAUAUUGGACAAUGGGCGAAAGCCUGAUCCAGCCAUGCCGCGUGUGUGAAGAAGGUCUUCGGAUUGUAAAGCACUUUAAGUUGGGAGGAAGGGCAGUAAGUUAAUACCUUGCUGUUUUGACGUUACCAACAGAAUAAGCACCGGCUAACUUCGUG
Molecule: ribosomal RNA, 483 nt
Filed under: uncultured bacterium
Lineage: Bacteria
Description: partial 16S ribosomal RNA
Rfam family: Bacterial small subunit ribosomal RNA
Source: RNAcentral